This 483-nucleotide ribosomal RNA is filed under the name uncultured bacterium. RNAcentral describes it as "partial 16S ribosomal RNA". It matches the Rfam family "Bacterial small subunit ribosomal RNA", at positions 30 to 507 of the family's 1533-position model. The record is from RNAcentral.
AUUGAACGCUAGCGGGAUGCUUUACACAUGCAAGUCGAACGGCAGCGCGGACUUCGGUCUGGCGGCGAGUGGCGAACGGGUGAGUAAUGUAUCGGAACGUGCCCAGUAGCGGGGGAUAACUACGCGAAAGCGUAGCUAAUACCGCAUACGCCCUACGGGGGAAAGCAGGGGAUCGUAAGACCUUGCACUAUUGGAGCGGCCGAUAUCGGAUUAGCUAGUUGGUGAGGUAACGGCUCACCAAGGCGACGAUCCGUAGCUGGUUUGAGAGGACGACCAGCCACACUGGGACUGAGACACGGCCCAGACUCCUACGGGAGGCAGCAGUGGGAAUUUUGGACAAUGGGGGCAACCCUGAUCCAGCCAUCCCGCGUGUGCGAUGAAGGCCUUCGGGUUGUAAAGCACUUUUGGCAGGAAAGAAACGUCGCGGGCUAAUACCCCGUGGAACUGACGGUACCUGCAGAAUAAGCACCGGCUAACUACGUG